AUAGCCUAAUUUUAUUUUCAUUCUUCCUCUUCAACACGAGAAGAACUGUAACUCUCUCCUCCCUCCAUUUUGGCGCUGACUAGAGGCCACACCCCCUAGGCCAGCGGAUACUGGUCUCCUCCGUUGGCCUUUCGCCUCUCUCUCUUAUCCUCUUUCCUAUUCCGGCAAAUCCAGCUGAGACAGAAGCUGUAUCAAGACCAUCUAUCAGCAUCAGCGAGCUCCGGCCGGAGUUUCUCAAAGAUUCAAGCUGGUCAAAAGACUGAUCUUUAACCGAUCCAUCUAGGCAAACAAGAGGAUAUGGAAUUUUCGAACCUGUGAAGAACUUCCAAAGCUUUAAGUUGGCAUCUCCUGAACAGUGGCCCUUUCUAAUUACUAAGGAACUAACUGGAGAUCACCAUCCAGAUAAGGAUGAUGAGAGGUCUCGAGUGGAGACUGCAGGAGGACAUGUUUCUAAGUAGGGCGACGUAGCUAAGGUUAAUAGUCAAUUGGUUAUUUCUAGAGCAAUAGAUGAUGUUUAUUUUAAAAGGUUAGUUUCACAUUCACAGGAAGAUCUAUGUAAAAAUAUUCCCACCAUUUCUUCACCUGCAGAUUUGUAUUGGACUUUGAUGCAUGCAUAAAUAUUUGGGGACCUGUUGAUUUGGGUCUUUUAAUUA
Long non-coding RNA from Solanum pennellii, 653 nucleotides. RefSeq lists it as uncharacterized. Lineage: Eukaryota; Viridiplantae; Streptophyta; Magnoliopsida; Solanales; Solanaceae. The record is from RefSeq and is a predicted model, not a curated record. The transcript has 2 exons.